CUACGGGAGGCAGCAGUUAAGAAUAUUGCGCAAUGGGCGAAAGCCUGACGCAGCGACGCCGCGUGAGGGAAGAAGGCUCUCGGGUUGUAAACCUCGUUAAGAUGGGAAGAAUAUUUACGGUCUAAUAGGCCGUGAGAUGACGGUACCAUCCUGCAGCCCCGGCUAAUUACGUGCCAGCAGCCGCGGUAAUACGUAAGGGGCAAGCGUUGUUCGGAUUCAUUGGGCGUAAAGGGCGCGUAGGCGGGUAAUUAAGUUGGAUGUUUAACCCAUAGGCUCAACCUGUGGUCUGCAUUCAAUACUGAUUAUCUUGAGUAUCAGAGGGGAAAGCGGAAUUCUCGGUGUAGCGGUGGAAUGCGUAGAUAUCGAGAGGAACACCAGUGGCGAAGGCGGCUUUCUGGCUGAAUACUGACGCUGAAGCGCGAAAGCGUGGGGAGCAAACAGGAUUAGAUACCCCGGUAGUCC
RNAcentral lists this ribosomal RNA (462 nucleotides) under uncultured bacterium. RNAcentral describes it as "bacterial SSU rRNA". It matches the Rfam family "Bacterial small subunit ribosomal RNA", at positions 339 to 796 of the family's 1533-position model. The record is from RNAcentral.